AUACGAAGGGGGCUAGCGUUGUUCGGAAUUACUGGGCGUAAAGCGCGCGUAGGCGGACUGAUCAGUUGGGGGUGAAAUCCCAGGGCUUAACCCUGGAAUUGCCUCCAAUACUGUCAGUCUUGAGUUCGGGAGAGGUGAGUGGAAUUCCUAGUGUAGAGGUGAAAUUCGUAGAUAUUAGGAAGAACACCAGUGGCGAAGGCGGCUCACUGGCCCGAUACUGACGCUGAGGCGCGAAAGCGUGGGGAGCAAACAGGAUUAGAAACCCCAGAGUCC
Molecule: ribosomal RNA, 273 nt
Filed under: uncultured bacterium
Lineage: Bacteria
Description: partial 16S ribosomal RNA
Rfam family: Bacterial small subunit ribosomal RNA
Source: RNAcentral